This 253-nucleotide ribosomal RNA is filed under the name uncultured bacterium. Its description in RNAcentral is "partial 16S ribosomal RNA". It matches the Rfam family "Bacterial small subunit ribosomal RNA", at positions 524 to 776 of the family's 1533-position model. The record is from RNAcentral.
UACGUAGGGUGCAAGCGUUGUCCGGAAUUAUUGGGCGUAAAGAGCGUGUAGGCGGCCUCGUAAGUCCGCUGUGAAAGUCCAGGGCUCAACCCUGGAAAGCCGGUGGAUACUGCGAGGCUAGAGUCCGGAAGAGGCGAGUGGAAUUCCUGGUGUAGCGGUGAAAUGCGCAGAUAUCAGGAGGAACACCAAUGGCGAAGGCAGCUCGCUGGGACGUGACUGACGCUGAGACGCGAAAGCGUGGGGAGCAAACAGG